GACGAACGCUGGCGGCGUGCUUAACACAUGCAAGUCGAACGGAAAGGCCCCUUUGGGGGUCCUCGAGUGGCGAACGGGUGCGUAACACGUGAGUAACCUGCCCUUGACUUCGGGAUAACUUCAGUAAACUGGGGCUAAUACCGGAUCGGAAUCCUUUCUGCAUGGUGGGGGUUGGAAAGCUUCGGCGGUUUUGGAUGGACUCGCGGCUUAUCAGCUUGUUGGUGGGGUAGUGGCUUACCAAGGCUUUGACGGGUAGCCGGCCUGAGAGGGCGACCGGCCACAUUGGGACUGAGAUACGGCCCAGACUCCUACGGGAGGCAGCAGGGGGGAAUAUUGCACAAUGGGCGGAAGCCUGAUGCAGCAACGCCGCGUGCGGGAGGACGGCCUUCGGGUUGGAAACCGAAUGCAGCAGGGGCGAAGCUUGUGGUGACGGUACCUGCAGAAGAAGCACCGGCUAACUACGUG
RNAcentral lists this ribosomal RNA (465 nucleotides) under uncultured bacterium. RNAcentral's name for it is "partial 16S ribosomal RNA". It matches the Rfam family "Bacterial small subunit ribosomal RNA", at positions 28 to 507 of the family's 1533-position model. The record is from RNAcentral.